UCAUGAGUUAUUUGUGAUUGAUGUCGUCAACUGCUAAUGACUAUCGAACUACAAUAUUUUAGAAUUGUUACUUCUGUAAAUAUUUCUCUAUGAAUAGUAUGUAUAAUAUCUUGUCUCAUUGAUUUAAUAUGUAUUUUUUCCUCUUUUCUUUCUCCACACCCACGACACAAUCGCCUUCUCCACUAUCGAAGCCACCACUAGCGCAAUGCCAUUUCCAC
This 218-nucleotide long non-coding RNA is filed under the name Vitis vinifera (wine grape). Its description in RNAcentral is "long non-coding RNA (VVIN_LNC003232)". Lineage: Eukaryota; Viridiplantae; Streptophyta; Magnoliopsida; Vitales; Vitaceae. The record is from RNAcentral.